AGGAUGAACGCUGGCGGCGUGCCUAACACAUGCAAGUCGAACGUCCUGUCUCGCAAGAGGCAGGGAGUGGCGGACGGGUGAGUACCACGUGGGUCAUCUACCGUGAGGUGAGGAAUACCGGCGAGAAAUCGCCGACAAGACCGCAUAGGCUCGAUGCAAGUCGAGCAAAGCUCUUUCGAGAGAGGGAGCGCCACACGAGGAGCCUGCGCCCGAUUAGCUAGCUGGUGGAGUAACGGUUCACCAGGGCGACGAUCGGUAGCUGGUCUGAGAGGACGAUCAGCCACACUGGGAUUGAGAACGGCCCAGACUCCUACGGGGGGCAGCAGUGAGGAAUUUUCGUCAAUGGGGGCAACCCUGAACGAGCAACGCCGCGUGCAGGAAGAAGGUUUUCGGAUCGUAAACUGCUUUUCUCGGGGAAGAGGAACGGACGGUACCCGAGGAAUCAGCCCCGGCUAACUACGCGCCAGCAGCCGC
RNAcentral lists this ribosomal RNA (474 nucleotides) under uncultured bacterium. RNAcentral describes it as "SSU rRNA". It matches the Rfam family "Bacterial small subunit ribosomal RNA", at positions 26 to 518 of the family's 1533-position model. The record is from RNAcentral.